AGCAAGUUUGCAUGAAGUGCCUAUUUUUAACCGACUGGUUACAUGAUGAAUAAAAUCAAAUCACCAUCUUUCGGCUGAUCUUGUG
Chelonoidis abingdonii (Abingdon island giant tortoise) is the source of this 85-nucleotide small nucleolar RNA. Lineage: Eukaryota; Metazoa; Chordata; Testudines; Testudinidae. The record is from Ensembl.